CAUUCUGGGAGCCAGCGCUUCCCUGUCGCCGCUCCCAGCUUCAGCAUUUGGUCCCGCGGGUGGUGCUGGGGCUGUUGUAAGGACUUGUGGAGGAUGGGAGCGCUGCGGAAGAUUGCCGGGCUUCUGCGUGGUUGCUAGGCUUCCCUUAGCCUCGUCAACCAGGAUUGGUCCGUGGGGCAACGCUAGACCCUCACCUGAAGCCCAUUCCUGUUCACGCCAGUCUGCUACUCCAGUCACCGUUAGGAAAACGUUGCCGGCCAGGCGCGUUAAGAACAGGAGCUCUGGGAUUAGAAUCUCAACAGUAACUACAAAUUUAAAUUCGCUGUGAACAUUAAAUGAGAUUAGCCAAGAAAAGUGAAGACAACUGGAAAAGCAUUGCAGUGACCUAAGGCAAAACAAACAAUCUAAUAUAUAUGUCAUUGGAGUCCCAGAUAAACAAUGGAAAACUGGGAAAGAAAAUAAAAUGUGAAGAAAUUAGGGUUGAUAAUCAGCAAAUUUGGAGAAAUACAACUUACAGAUGCAAGAAGGUCAGCAAACCUCCAAAGAGAAUAAAUGCAAAGAAAUUUACAGAGCAAAUUCUUGGAAGCAGUCCUUGUUACAAUGUGAC
RNAcentral lists this long non-coding RNA (607 nucleotides) under Homo sapiens (human). RNAcentral's name for it is "HSALNT0044861". The record is from RNAcentral. Lineage: Eukaryota; Metazoa; Chordata; Mammalia; Primates; Hominidae.